Molecule: long non-coding RNA, 721 nt
Filed under: Capsella grandiflora
Lineage: Eukaryota; Viridiplantae; Streptophyta; Magnoliopsida; Brassicales; Brassicaceae
Description: long non-coding RNA (CGRA_LNC000810)
Source: RNAcentral
UAUCAUAACAAAACUUGCCCUCCAAAACACUUUUAAGAACCUUCCACUUUUGUUUUUUUCUUGACAUCAUAUCUUAAGCGAAUUGUGUUGUGAGAUGGGUAAGCACAGAAUCGCCGGUAAAUAUGGUCUCCGAGACAUCACGGCGGCAGAGAUGGAAACCCUAGCUAGCUUUUGUGAAGCUGUCUUGCCUCCAGUACCGCCACCUCCAGAAGAACUUUCCGGUGAUAUUAACCACCGGAAUAAAGAAGCUCUCCGGUCAUUUUACUCAACUUCUGGUUCUCAAACUCCUGUCCUUCGCCAGGUACACACACUUUACUCAAAUGCUCUGUUUAUUUUAAGUUCUUGAAAUAAAUCAAGAACGUGUGAGUGACCUAAUGAUUUUUUUUGUGGUUCUCUUUUGACCACUGUAAACCCCUUAAAUGUAAGUCUUUUUGAGACAAAAAAAGUGAAAGACUUGUUAAAUGGAUGCAGAGCAUAGAGCUGAUCACGAAACGAGGGACGAUAGAAGCUUACCUUGUGACUAGGCUUAUACUGUUCUUGCUUGCUACUCGGAUUGGGACAUUACUCAUCUGUGGAACCGAGUGUUUGGUCUCGAGAUGGCCGUUCGUUGAGAAAUUUAGUGAACUGUCGUUGGAGAAGAGAGAAAGAGUACUUCAGAAACAGUUCAGGAAUUGGAUCUUGACUCCUGUUAGAGCUGGUUUUGUAUACAUCAAAGUUGCCA